Biomphalaria pfeifferi is the source of this 234-nucleotide non-coding RNA. The record is from the annotation of a GenBank genome assembly. NCBI's taxonomy places the organism in Eukaryota, Metazoa, Mollusca, Gastropoda, Planorbidae.
UAUUAGAUCUAUGUAUGCGUUCAUGAAAUGGGAGAUCCGAAGAAAACAAAACUUAGACUCUGAAUGUAAAACUUCCAAGAAAAGUGGAGAUAUGUGGUUGGAUGUCACGACGGACUGGCAGCAAGAGUUAUCAGAAAAGUUAUCAAUUCAUUAAUUCUUUUGUGUUUUUGUUGAUGUGGCCGACAGCAUGAGUGUCAGAAAUUAAGGAAAUUAAAAUGGCCCGCCCGCCCGAUU